UACGUAGGGUGCAAGCGUUGUCCGGAAUUAUUGGGCGUAAAGAGCUCGUAGGCGGUUUGUCGCGUCUUCUGUGAAAUCUGGGGGCUCAACCCCCAGCCUGCAGUGGGUACGGGCAGACUAGAGUGCGGUAGGGGAGAUUGGAAUUCCUGGUGUAGCGGUGAAAUGCGCAGAUAUCAGGAGGAACACCGGUGGCGAAGGCGGGUCUCUGGGCCGAUACUGACGCUGAGGAGCGAAAGCGUGGGGAGCGAACAGG
This 253-nucleotide ribosomal RNA is filed under the name uncultured bacterium. RNAcentral describes it as "partial 16S ribosomal RNA". It matches the Rfam family "Bacterial small subunit ribosomal RNA", at positions 524 to 776 of the family's 1533-position model. The record is from RNAcentral.